AGAGCUAUGAACCUGCCCCAAUACAGAACCGGUCCAGAAUCGAUCAGGAUCGUCAGAAGUGAACAGAAGACGACCGCCGAUGAAAUCUAGAUUUAAAAAAAUGAAACACAAGGACAUCAAAAAUCGAUUUAAAAACUAAUAUUUUAUUUUCUAUGUAACUCCGUGGACACGCUCCGGUCUCAGAUGCAGGGAUGAAGCUCCAAUCAUAUAUUUCUUUUUUCCAGCCUUACAGAUCUCUUCGGCUCCCCACCAUGCAUCGUCACCUAAAUAUAAAGAAUAAGAAAUAUGUGCACGUGUGUUUCUGAACUCUCUCUACGACAUGCUGCUGAUUCUCACGUUGUGCUUCGUGUGUUGGACAAAUGUGAAGUGCUUGUGUCGGAGUGAGCAGGACUUUAUUGACAAAUGUCUGCUAUCUGUUUGUUGUGUUUUAUAUUAUCAGAAUAAAGUCUAUUAACAUGUGAGGGGUGUUUUAUUUUGGCGGGUUGAUGUGUACACUGACGGUACGUCCACACGGCAGCGUCGCGUGCUUCAACGGAGACGCUUCCCCUUCACUUUGAAUGGGGUGACGUGACGCUUUGCCGAACUGCAUUGUGGUUCCCUCGCGUCGCUUUGCCUCCUCCGUUGCUCGCUUCGAAAGUUGAGAAAAGUUCAACUAUUCAAGCGCCAGCCAAUCAAAUCAUAUGCCAGGACAAGCUCUAGCCAAUCAAACCGCAUGCUUGUGUGUCCGGGGCGGGAGAUUAAUGUGAUUGGUUGUUGGUCGCCCACCGACAAGCUUCAACGCGACGCUGCCGUGUGGACGUGCCGUGAAGUGUGCAAAGGGUGUGGCGUUAGAAAGCGUAAAUGUUAGGUAAAUAUUUUUGAGUUAUGCAUCACCUGGCUUAUUAAACUAAUCCUCCUCCUGCUCUUCCUCCCCCUCCUCCUCCUCCUCUCCCUCCUGAAUGAAAUAUGUGUCGUAUCAGAGGUCACUCUCACAUCCUUAGAUUUGAUCAUGUUCAUUAUUAAAGUUAUGCUUCUCUGUU
Molecule: long non-coding RNA, 1019 nt
Organism: Trematomus bernacchii (emerald rockcod)
Lineage: Eukaryota; Metazoa; Chordata; Actinopteri; Perciformes; Nototheniidae
Exons: 2
Source: RefSeq, a predicted model, not a curated record